AGUAGAAAAAAACACUUUGUUCUUUUUGUUUUGUUUUCUUUUUCUUAUAUAUAGAAACUUUUUUCCCAGAAAAACAGCCAAUGCAGCAUUUCCUGAAGCUCUGUUUGAAGGCCUUCUUUCGUAAGAAUGUCACUGGUUUUUUUUGCUUUUAAAGUACAGCAAAUCCCAUCCAGCUCCAUUUUUCUACAAAAGAUUUCGUGUGGAAAGGAAGAAUGUCCAAUCACACCAGUUGUCUGUGUAAAAGUCCGUUGGUCUGUCUGCUCCCUCGCCUUUAACCCAUUGGCCAAUUUCAGCAAAAGAGCAAGAGGUAUAGAAGUCCCCAAGAUUAUGUUGCAAGUUUCAUGAAAGUAGGUGACUGCACAGAGGAGAGAGUCAAUAUCCCCUCAGAGAGAAUAUUUCUGGGAUUCUAGGGGAGUUUAAUGGACUUGGGAUGGGGCACACAAAAUCAUGACAUUCUCAGAGGCUGGAGAACAUAAUCAGAACUUUAUAACUGCACAAGAGUUAUACAUACAUGUUCCAGGUAAAUACAUUUUUAUACUUUUUAUGAGGUUAUUGAAUAUUUCCCAUAAAAAUUCUCUUGGUUUCAUUAAGUAUUUUGCGUAAAAUGUUCUAUUACAUUCUAACUAGAUAGCAAGCUAGCAGCUAUUCUGCUUUUUCAAGUGAUUUUUAACUUUCCAUUUACUAAAACUCCAUCUGGAAGCUCCCCAGUAGGGACACCUUGAAGAUAGACCGCUGCAGACUUUAAGCUAACCUAGGAAGUCUAAAGCAUCCAAUCUUUUCAAUUCUUUAAAAUGAGAUUUGUGGCAAAUCCUACUGUGGGACUUUUGGAAGUAGGAUGAGUCUUUGUCUUCCACUAUAUUUCUCCCAGAUACUUAAUAACUAUGUAUUUUUUCACUUGAGAAAAUUACCCCUAGCAAGAAAAAAAAAGCGUCUUUAAAAAAAUAGAAUAUUUACAUAUAGACUUCCAAGGAAUGUUAUUAUCAUUUUUCAUUCUGUUUUUG
This 1001-nucleotide long non-coding RNA is filed under the name Struthio camelus australis. RNAcentral's name for it is "lncRNA (ENSSCUG00000016233.1)". Lineage: Eukaryota; Metazoa; Chordata; Aves; Struthioniformes; Struthionidae. The record is from RNAcentral.